ACUAAUCGUACAGUAGAUGGGCGCGAGUAAAACAGAACACAGGGAGAAGAACCGGUGGCAAACGAACAGGGAAAAGGGUAAAUUCGCUUUCAGAGGCAAGCGCUGCGUUGCCACACAGCGGGAAUCCUGCCCAGAGCUGCCGAAUCGGGUCCAAUCCCGUCGACCUUUCUGGCCGCCGCCGCCACUGGACUCCAUCCAGAAAUUACCUUCGAUUCGGCCGGGGCCGUGGGAGCGGGGAUGGGGCUCGGGGAGGCGGCGGGGCGGCUCCUGGCGGCCGUGGACUGGGAGCGAGAGGCCUACCCGGCGUACGACGACUUCCUCGCGCUCCCCGUCUUCGUCCUUUUCUUCCCCACCGUCCGCUACCUCCUCGACCGCUUCGUCUUCGAGUGGGUUGCAAGGAGGCUUAUAAAUAGAAAUGGACAUCAGAGCACUAAUAAUGAAACAGAAGAAGGAAGGAAGAAGAUAAGAAAAUUCAAGGAAUCAGCUUGGAAAUGUGUUUAUUUCCUGUCUGGAGAGCUUUUAGCUUUGUCGGUUACAUAUAACGAGCCUUGGUUCACCAAUACCAGAUAUUUUUGGGUAGGACCAGGAGAACAGGUCUGGCCUGAUCAAAAGAUAAAAUUGAAACUUAAGGCUGUAUAUAUGUAUGCUGCUGGAUUCUACACAUAUUCCAUAUUUGCACUUAUGUUUUGGGAAACAAGGCGUUCAGACUUUGGAGUGUCAAUGUCACAUCAUGUUGCUACUGUCGUCCUGAUUGUUCUAUCUUACGUGUUCAGAUUUGCUAGAGUUGGCUCUAUAGUAUUGGCAAUUCAUGAUGCAAGUGAUGUUUUCCUGGAAGUAGGGAAGAUGUCCAAGUACAGUCAUUGUGAUUGGCUUGCCAAUGUUUCGUUUCUGUUUUUUGUUAUUUCAUGGGUUCUUCUCCGCCUCACUUAUUUUCCAUUCUGGAUUCUGAGAAGUACAAGAUUCGCCCCAUUGCAGUGUUGGUCUGGUUCACAGUUUCUUUGUUGUGGUGCUUGUUGAGUUGCUGUGAGGUUGUGGCCUUCAUCAUCUAUGAGGUCUUGUUGACUUUGGACAAAAAGAAGCACAAUUUUGAUGGUCCUAUAUACUAUUAUGUGUUCAAUUCCCUUCUAUUUUCACUACUUGUUCUCCACAUAUAUUGGUGGGUCUUAAUAUAUCGGAUGCUUCUGAGACAAAUCAAGACAAGAAAUGUUGGAGAUGAUGUUCGAUCUGAUUCUGAAGGAGAAGACGACCAUGAAGACUGAUUGGCGUCACCAUCUUAGUUUGCAUAUUAUGUCGGUGCUAGAAGCAUCACCCCCAAUACCGUCCCUGAGCUUAUACAUUCUUUGGCUGGAUUCCAAGAAUACGUGCAGAUUAUGAGAGGACGAGCAUUUGUUCCUCACGAGAAUCACCGAAGCCGGGCUACGAUUUCUUCUGUCUCGACUGCUCAUUUGUGUUGUACUAAGUAUGCAUUAGAAACAGCGCUGCAAUGUGUUAAAAAAGUUGGAUGUCGGAUAUAACAUUCUUGUGAGUGUUCAGACAAAGUGCAGCGGUAAAUGUAGCAUUCCAGAAAAAGGACUGGCUGUAAACUAUAUGGCCUUUCUUUCGACAAACCAUUGUAAAAAUUGUGUAUGCCAGGAUAGCCUUGCUUGGGAUUUACCACAAUCCCAAUCAGAAACUGUCCCUUCUGAAGCAUGUAUUUCACCAUUCAGUGAUUCGCCUGAUGAUAAUUUGAUAAAUUCAUUUAUCCAA
RNA transcript from Zea mays, 1746 nucleotides. It is a transcript of the gene named ASC1-like protein 1, with no coding region annotated. The record is from RefSeq and is a predicted model, not a curated record. The transcript is spliced from 7 exons. NCBI's taxonomy places the organism in Eukaryota, Viridiplantae, Streptophyta, Magnoliopsida, Poales, Poaceae.